This 498-nucleotide ribosomal RNA is filed under the name uncultured bacterium. RNAcentral's name for it is "partial 16S ribosomal RNA". It matches the Rfam family "Bacterial small subunit ribosomal RNA", at positions 30 to 523 of the family's 1533-position model. The record is from RNAcentral.
AUUGAACGCUGGCGGCAUGCCUUACACAUGCAAGUCGAACGGUAACAGGUCUUCGGAUGCUGACGAGUGGCGAACGGGUGAGUAAUACAUCGGAACGUGCCUAGUAGUGGGGGAUAACUACUCGAAAGAGUGGCUAAUACCGCAUGAGAUCUACGGAUGAAAGCAGGGGAUCGCAAGCCCUUGUGCUACUAGAGCGGCCGAUGGCAGAUUAGGUAGUUGGUGGGAUAAAAGCUUACCAAGCCGACGAUCUUUAGCUGGUCUGAGAGGACGAUCAGGCACACGGGGACUGAGACACGGCCCAGACUCCGACGGGAGGCAGCAGUGGGGAAUUUUGGACAAUGGGCGCAAGCCUGAUCCAGCAAUGCCGCGUGCAGGAUGAAGGCCUUCGGGUUGUAAACUGCUUCUGUACGGAACGAAAAGCCCCGGGUUAAUACCCUGGGGUCAUGACGGUACCGUAAGAAUAAGCACCGGCUAACUACGUGCCAGCCGCCGCAGUAA